AGUGAACGCUGGCGGUAGGCCUAACACACGCAAGUCGAACGGCAGCACAGUAAGAGCUUGCUCUUACGGGUGGCGAGUGGCGGACGGGUGAGGAAUACAUCGGAAUCUACUUUUUCGUGGGGGAUAACGUAGGGAAACUUACGCUAAUACCGCAUACGACCUACGGGUGAAAGCAGGGGAUCUUCGGACCUUGCGCGAUUGAAUGAGCCGAUGUCGGAUUAGCUAGUUGGCGGGGUAAAGGCCCACCAAGGCGACGAUCCGUAGCUGGUCUGAGAGGAUGAUACGGCACACUGGAACUGAGACAAGGUCCAGACUCCUACGGGAGGCAGCAGUGGGGAAUAUUGGACAAUGGGCGCAAGCCUGAUCCAGCCAUACCGCGUGGGUGAAGAAGGCCUUCGGGUUGUAAAGCCCUUUUGUUGGGAAAGAAAAGCAGCAGGUUAAUACCCCGCUGUUCUGACGGUACCCAAAGAAUAAGCACCGGCUAACUUCGUG
RNAcentral lists this ribosomal RNA (492 nucleotides) under uncultured bacterium. RNAcentral describes it as "partial 16S ribosomal RNA". It matches the Rfam family "Bacterial small subunit ribosomal RNA", at positions 29 to 507 of the family's 1533-position model. The record is from RNAcentral.